Molecule: ribosomal RNA, 440 nt
Filed under: uncultured bacterium
Lineage: Bacteria
Description: partial 16S ribosomal RNA
Rfam family: Bacterial small subunit ribosomal RNA
Source: RNAcentral
CCUACGGGAGGCAGCAGUGGGGAAUAUUGCACAAUGGGGGAAACCCUGAUGCAGCGACGCCGCGUGAGUGAAGAAGUAAUUCGUUAUGUAAAGCUCUAUCAGCAGGGAAGAAAAUGACGGUACCUGAGUAUGAAGCCCCGGCUAAUUACGUGCCAGCAGCCGCGGUAAUACGUAGGGGGCAAGCGUUAUCCGGAUUUACUGGGUGAAAAGGGAGCGUAGACGGCAGUGCAAGUCUGGAGUGAAAGGCGGGGGCUCAACCCCUGGACUGCUCUGGAAACUGUACGGCUGGAGUGCAGGAGAGGUGAGUGGAAUUCCUAGUGUAGCGGUGAAAUGCGUAGAUAUUAGGAGGAACACCAGGGGCGAAGGCGACUUACUGGACUGUAACUGACGUUGAGGCUCGAAAGCGUGGGGAGCAAACAGGAUUAGAUACCCGUGUAGUC